GACCUUUCAAAUAUCACAAGAUCAAGGUCAUAUUACACUUUGAAGGUCAAGGUAAAAUUUCAUCAUGACCUGACAUUGACCUCAAAUUGAAGGUCUGAAAAUACUGAUCAUUUUUCCAAUUUAUAGUAGGUUGAUAUCUGUUACCUUUAAAAAGAUAUACACACAAUACUAUACUUUUAAGAAUUAUCUCGUCGUAACUUUUAAACAGACGGUCGGACAGUUUUAAGCUUAAUGUAUAAAAUGUAGAGCUCGUCGAGAGGAACAUAUUAUACACAGUAUGUAUGCAGCAAACUUUUAUCGUUUUCUUAAUAUGUAAGCUUGAAAUUGCAGCGUAAAUUUUUUUGAACUCAGUGACCUUUGACCUUGGGUGCAAAUUAAAGGUCACAUGAAUUAAAGAUUAUUGGUGAAGGUCCCAAGUCUCUACUACUUCCGGUUCUCGAAGUAGAAUUCUCAAAAAUUGUGUAUAAUUUUUCAAGAGAAAUAACUCCUUAUAAGGGUUAAUAACAAAAUAAUUGUUUAUGUUUAUUAACAUUGCCAUCUGUUCUUGUACAUGCUGCCAUUUUCAAAUUGAUUCUAUCUGUAAUACUUUUUUAGAAAAAUGCAAAUAAAAGAAAUUCCUUUAAGGGGAUAUAACUCUCAAAGGGGAUGAUGAAAUCUUACGCAGCCUCAUAUGGUAAUACAUCAUGGUAAGAUCUACCUAUUGUCCACAUAAAGUCAUGAUAUCUUAAAAAAUAACGACGAGGGGCUAUGUCGAAAAAAACCAAUAAAAGGGAGAUAACUUCUAAAGGGGAUGAUGAAAUCCUUAACAGGGUCAUCUGGUAAUACUUCAUGAUGAGGUCUAUCGAUGGUCCAUAUUUGGUCUUGAUAACUCUAAUAGAAACGAGGGGAGGGCAUGUCAAAAAAAUGUUGGAAGAAAAAAAAGAAAAAAAAAACUAGUAUCUCAAUUGUUUGAAAAACAAUUGAAAGGUCUUUCCUGUAAAAGUGAUGUUUUUGUAAUGUACUCUUUAAGACCUUUCAUUUGAUAUACGACAAGCAUACCUUCUAAAAAUUUUCACUUUUUACACUUAAUGACCCCAUCCGCCUACAUUUUUGAUAUCGGAAGUAUGAUAUAUGUAAUCUAGACUUGAUUAUCUUUCAUUUGAUAUGCGACAACGCCAUGUUCUAGAAAGUUUGAUUUCUGCACUUAAUAACCUCAUCCAACUUAUUUUUUGAGGACAGGAAUCUGAUAUUUGAAAUGUACACGUUACGACCUUUCAUUUAAAAUACAACAACCUUACCUUAAAAGAAAAUUAUAUUUUUUGCACUCAAUGACCCCACCCAACCCAUUUUUUGGGGACGUCAUUUUGAUAUUUGAAAUGUACGCUUUAUGGACUUUCAUUUGAUAUGCGACAACCUAACCAUCUGAGAAGUUUUAAUUUUUUGCACUAAAUGACCCCACCCUUCCCCCUGGGAUGAAAAGGGGGUUUUACAUUUUCAUUUUUGAGUAGAGCUAGUUAAGACCUUCAAUUUGAUAUAUCAAAUGACCCGAUUUGGCAAAGUGCCAAAAAUGAUGCAAUAUUAAUUAUAUAAAUAGAACUUAUGAAACUUACAAAGUCAAUGCAAAACAUGAAAAUUUCAAAUUGAUUUUUUGGUUUUUUUUUUCAUUGAAUGUUUUUGGUAUUUAGUCAAACAUAUAACCAUGUUAAACUCUUCAAUUUCUUAUAAUUUCAGGUGGUUACCUGUUGUUGAUUCAGAAAUACAUGCCUCCGCUCGCAAAAUUUCAAAGUGCAUUAUCUCUUAAACGACAACAUGUAUCUCAAAUUUGUUAAAAGAAAAAUGAUCUACAGUAAAAGGACAACAUUUUAGAAAAAAAAUUGGACAAUUCCAAAGUUCAUCAAGGUCACAAUGAAUUAUCAAAUAUAUGAUGCAAUAUCAAACUUGAGAACCGUAAGUCGUAGAGACAUGGGACUACCACCAUUCAACUCAAGACCACU
Molecule: long non-coding RNA, 1973 nt
Organism: Mytilus californianus (California mussel)
Lineage: Eukaryota; Metazoa; Mollusca; Bivalvia; Mytilida; Mytilidae
Exons: 4
Source: RefSeq, a predicted model, not a curated record